RNAcentral lists this ribosomal RNA (484 nucleotides) under Yarrowia sp. RNAcentral describes it as "LSU rRNA". It matches the Rfam family "Eukaryotic large subunit ribosomal RNA", at positions 386 to 961 of the family's 3401-position model. The record is from RNAcentral. Lineage: Eukaryota; Fungi; Ascomycota; Dipodascomycetes; Dipodascales.
AGUGAAAUAGUAUGUGAAAUUGUUGAUAGGGAAGGAAAUGAGUGGAGAGUGGACGAGGUUUCAGUGCCCCCUCGGGGGUACGUACUGCCAACUCCGAGUCAACGUCAGCGAGACGGGGUGUAUAAACGGGUGUCUUCGGACUCUCACCUACUCCCCCCCACUGCCGUCGUCGACAUAAUCCACCCAUUUCACCCGUCUUGAAACACGGACCAAGGAGUCUAAUGGAUAUGUGAGUGUUAGGGUGGCAAACCCCAGCGCGCAAUGAAAGUGAAUGAUUCGUUCAGAAUCGACCGAACUUGAUUUUUAUGACAGUUUUGAGUAAACACAUCCAUUGGGACCCGAAAGAUGGUGAACUAUGCCUGAAUAGGGUGAAGUCAGAGGAAACUCUGAUGGAGGCUCGUAGCGGUUCUGACGUGCAAAUCGAUCGUAGAAUUUGGGUAUAGGGGCGAAAGACUAAUCGAACCAUCUAGUAGCUGGUUCCUGC